RNAcentral lists this unclassified non-coding RNA (358 nucleotides) under Hevea brasiliensis (rubber tree). The record is from RNAcentral. Lineage: Eukaryota; Viridiplantae; Streptophyta; Magnoliopsida; Malpighiales; Euphorbiaceae.
GCAAAAUCAACCAUUUCUGCGACCUACUAUUGUUGAAGUGGUUAAGGUAUUAGAAGGUACACUUUCUGUAGAUAGGCCUCCAUUCCCUUUCACUCUUAGACAAGAUCAGAUGGAUGAAGCUGCUUUAAGUGAGAUUNNNNNNNNNGCUCCUAGACUGAAGUUAACUUUGAUUAGAAAGAUAUGCAAAUUUUAACUAGUUUCAUUUUCUGCAUAGCAAGGUCUAAGCAAAAUUGUCCGAUGCACAUGGGAGUUCAAAUUUUUUUGUAAAAUUGAACCCCAGAUAUGCAUGAAUUUCUAUAUUAUGUAUUAAUCUUUAAUGUAAAGACUGGCCUUCAUUGUGAAAUGGCUAAUCCAUCAC